UCAGUGGCGAACGGGUGAGUAACACGUGAGCAACCUGCCCUGGACUCUGGGAUAAGCGCUGGAAACGGUGUCUAAUACUGGAUAUGAGAUGUGAUCGCAUGGUCAUGUUUGGAAAGAUUUUUCGGUCUGGGAUGGGCUCGCGGCCUAUCAGCUUGUUGGUGAGGUAAUGGCUCACCAAGGCGUCGACGGGUAGCCGGCCUGAGAGGGUGACCGGCCACACUGGGACUGAGACACGGCCCAGACUCCUACGGGAGGCAGCAGUGGGGAAUAUUGCACAAUGGGCGGAAGCCUGAUGCAGCAACGCCGCGUGAGGGAUGACGGCCUUCGGGUUGUAAACCUCUUUUAGCAGGGAAGAAGCGUAAGUGACGGUACCUGCAGAAAAAGCGCCGGCUAACUACGUGCCAGCAGCCGCGGUAAUACGUAGGGCGCAAGCGUUAUCCGGAAUUAUUGGGCGUAAAGAGCUCGUAGGCGGUUUGUCGCGUCUGCUGUGAAAUCCCGAGGCUCAACCUCGGGUCUGCAGUGGGUACGGGCAGACUAGAGUGCGGUAGGGGAGAUUGGAAUUCCUGGUGUAGCGGUGGAAUGCGCAGAUAUCAGGAGGAACACCGAUGGCGAAGGCAGAU
Molecule: ribosomal RNA, 620 nt
Filed under: Microbacterium sp. I12A-00778
Lineage: Bacteria; Bacillati; Actinomycetota; Actinomycetes; Micrococcales; Microbacteriaceae
Description: bacterial SSU rRNA
Rfam family: Bacterial small subunit ribosomal RNA
Source: RNAcentral